GGUUUUAUGGGGUAGUGGUUAGCCCCCGAGAUUUUGGUUCUCGUGACUUGCUCGUGACCCCGGUUCGAAUCUGGGUAAAACCU
Molecule: transfer RNA, 83 nt
Filed under: Sphaerobolus stellatus SS14
Lineage: Eukaryota; Fungi; Basidiomycota; Agaricomycetes; Geastrales; Sphaerobolaceae
Description: tRNA-Gln (TTG) (tRNA-Gln-TTG-9-1)
Rfam family: tRNA
About the family: Transfer RNA (tRNA) molecules are approximately 80 nucleotides in length. Their secondary structure includes four short double-helical elements and three loops (D, anti-codon, and T loops). Further hydrogen bonds mediate the characteristic L-shaped molecular structure. tRNAs have two regions of fundamental functional importance: the anti-codon, which is responsible for specific mRNA codon recognition, and the 3' end, to which the tRNAs corresponding amino acid is attached (by aminoacyl-tRNA synthetases). tRNAs cope with the degeneracy of the genetic code in two manners: having more than one tRNA (with a specific anti-codon) for a particular amino acid; and 'wobble' base-pairing, i.e. permitting non-standard base-pairing at the 3rd anti-codon position.
Source: RNAcentral